This is a long non-coding RNA of Seriola aureovittata, 634 nucleotides long. RefSeq lists it as uncharacterized. Lineage: Eukaryota; Metazoa; Chordata; Actinopteri; Carangiformes; Carangidae. The transcript is spliced from 3 exons. The record is from RefSeq and is a predicted model, not a curated record.
AAGAGCUCCAUCAGCUUGUGGUGGUCCGGGCAGAUGCGCUCCGACAGGUCACCGACAGGUUCGCUCAGCUGGUGGAGACGGAAAAUUGGGUUUUCCCGGUGAGGACGCAGGUGCUCCUCGCAGAAAGAGGCCAUGCAGGUUGAAAGUCUCCACGACGGUGCUCAGGACCGUGUUUUUCUUCAGCUCCGGUUUGGUGGCGAAGUGGGUCCGACACUGAGGACAGCUGUACGUUUCCUUCCAGGAACAGUCACUGGAGCCUCCAUGUAAGGAAGCGUCACACUGACACUGUGACCUGUUGGCCUGUGAGGAGCCUCCGUCACCAGGACUGGAUCCUCCUUCACUACUGCCUGUGUGUGUGGAGCUUCUUUCUGGGCUGUCUGGGUGGUAGAAGGCUCCAUCACUGCUGGUUCCACUGGGGUCAAACACAGAGUCAUGACUUGCUCUGUCACCUCCUCAGGUCUAGAUGCAGAUGCUGCAAUAAAAACGAACCAAAAGACUGAUCAGUCCAUUGAGACUUCCAAAACUAGAUGCUGCUUCUUAAACAUGCUCUGACUAAUAUUUUGAUUGAUACCAAUAUCAAUAAAGCUGCAUUUAAUUUCAAAACAUCACAAUUUUUGUUGUAUUUCUUGCAAGU